UACGCAGGGGGCUAGCGUUGUUCGGAUUUACUGGGCGUAAAGCGCACGUAGGCGGAUCGUUAAGUCGGGGGUGAAAUCCUGGAGCUCAACUCCAGAACUGCCUUCGAUACUGGCGAUCUUGAGUCCGGAAGAGGUGAGUGGAACUCCUAGUGUAGAGGUGGAAUUCGUAGAUAUUAGGAAGAACACCAGUGGCGAAGGCGGCUCACUGGCCCGUUACCGACGCUCAGGCGCGAAAGCGUGGGGAGCAAACAGG
This 253-nucleotide ribosomal RNA is filed under the name uncultured bacterium. RNAcentral's name for it is "partial 16S ribosomal RNA". It matches the Rfam family "Bacterial small subunit ribosomal RNA", at positions 524 to 776 of the family's 1533-position model. The record is from RNAcentral.